ACAUUUCCAACGGCCACAGCCGUGCUGGCAGCAGGUGGUACUGGAGGCAGCAGAGGUUUAAGCAGAAAAAGUGUAUGUAUUUCCAUCUCAGUGAGCAGAGAGCCUACACCAGUGAAUGCCUGGAAGAGAAAAUCUGAUCAUUCAAUGCACCAUAGUUAUGCUUUAAAGGUUUCAGAAGAUGAACUGCAAUUGCAUAGUGUGGGGAUUCUUUUGGCUCAUUGUGCUGUUCUUUCUCGGCUGGCCCAUAAGCAUAGCCUUGUGUGCCCUCCAUGGAUUCCUUUCUCCUCUUGCUACUUUAAUUGGACUGGAUGAAUUAAGUGAAGCGCUACUGAAGGGCGCAAGUCUGGGGAGGCAGUGUGCUCAGAAUGUGCGUAAUGGCAAGCCCCUCUGUUAAGCAAUGAAGACAGCCCUGCAUAAAGCAAGCGUUCACCUGUAUGCUAGAAGAUUUCAAAGUUUACUCUGUGAAUCUUACAUUUUUUUCCAGUUCUAAAUAAUUUACUAUUUUUAAAAAAGUUUUUCAGUGUGUAUAUUUCUCUUGUGGAUGUCUGGAAACUUUAACAGUUCAGAAGUUUGUCGCUGAGAAUUUACAAUACAGGUUGCAGCUGUUGUUUUGAAAAUGGGUAAUGACACUGUACAUGGAGAAGGUAGCUAAGUAUGUAUUGCAAGAUUGAGCUGAGUGUCAAAGCUGCUUAAAUGGUUGAAAAUACUGCCCUAAGGAGUGUAAUGCACCUUAUGAGUCUGACUAUGACACUUGAAAAGAGUGGAUUCUGAACAGGAAAUUUAUUUUUGUGAAUAUUUUAUUCUACAGUGCACUUUGUUUGACAAAAGAUGUGAAAUUCUUAUCUGAUGUUUGUAUAGCAUGUAUCUUUUCAUUUUUAUGUGUUUCUGUUCUUUCUUUCCUUUAAAAAAGAAAUUAUAGUCAUUUGUACUAUGAUCUCACUUAGUAUUAAUCUCCUGUGAACAGUGGGUUUUCAGUGAAACAAGUUUGCUGAUGUGGGUUCACUGCACUGAUUUUCAAACAUUAGAUAAAUAAAGAACAUCUGUAAAUGUACUUUCUGAAGCUUUUGUUUGUUUGUUUUUGUUUUGUUUGUUUUGUUUGUUUGUUUGUUUUUUGUUUUUUGUGGCCCAUGUCUGCCAGUUGUUAUCCUUUUAUUAUAGGUAAUAUGCUUUCUUGCUUCAAAAGGUAUUGCAUAGACUAUAGUGACCAGCUGACAGUGUGACCGUGAUUUUACAUUUUUCUAUGUAUUUCCAGAAGUAUUAUAAAGUGAUAGAACGUAGAGGGCAGCUUAAAGAGUUUUGAGUAAUGCCAUGGAUCUCUGUGGCAUCUAGAAACUGGCCCUGACAAUAAAAGAGAAUUU
Molecule: long non-coding RNA, 1358 nt
Organism: Gallus gallus (chicken)
Lineage: Eukaryota; Metazoa; Chordata; Aves; Galliformes; Phasianidae
Source: Ensembl